CCCACGCCGACGCAAAGCUGCAAUCAAGAAACGAGUCUGAACGAACAACGAACAAGAACGCUGAUUGUGCACGCAGCGUGUGUCUACUGCUGGGUGUUGUUAUUAAUUACCGAGUACUCUGAUUUUUACCAAGCCUCGCUUAUUUCGUUGUUGAGAAAUGAUCAGUUGGCUGUUAUAUCGUAUUCACCUGGGUUUUUUUUUAUAUACGGAUAUAUAUAAAUGUUUUUAUCGUCCUCCGAUGCCCAUGGCCAGAUGGAGAGGUAAUAUGGCUGGCUAUGUUAUAGAUAAUUUUUUUUCUUCGGAUA
RNAcentral lists this small RNA (305 nucleotides) under Histoplasma ohiense. RNAcentral's name for it is "hypothetical lncRNA". The record is from RNAcentral. Lineage: Eukaryota; Fungi; Ascomycota; Eurotiomycetes; Onygenales; Ajellomycetaceae.